RNAcentral lists this ribosomal RNA (346 nucleotides) under Micrococcus sp. RNAcentral describes it as "bacterial SSU rRNA". It matches the Rfam family "Bacterial small subunit ribosomal RNA", at positions 111 to 458 of the family's 1533-position model. Lineage: Bacteria; Bacillati; Actinomycetota; Actinomycetes; Micrococcales; Micrococcaceae. The record is from RNAcentral.
UAACACGUGAGUAACCUGCCCUUAACUCUGGGAUAAGCCUGGGAAACUGGGUCUAAUACCGGAUAGGAGCGUCCACCGCAUGGUGGGUGUUGGAAAGAUUUAUCGGUUUUGGAUGGACUCGCGGCCUAUCAGCUUGUUGGUGAGGUAAUGGCUCACCAAGGCGACGACGGGUAGCCGGCCUGAGAGGGUGACCGGCCACACUGGGACUGAGACACGGCCCAGACUCCUACGGGAGGCAGCAGUGGGGAAUAUUGCACAAUGGGCGAAAGCCUGAUGCAGCGACGCCGCGUGAGGGAUGACGGCCUUCGGGUUGUAAACCUCUUUCAGUAGGGAAGAAGCGAAAGUG